Small nuclear RNA from Molossus molossus (Pallas's mastiff bat), 106 nucleotides. Lineage: Eukaryota; Metazoa; Chordata; Mammalia; Chiroptera; Molossidae. The record is from RefSeq and is a predicted model, not a curated record.
GUGCUUGCUUCGGUGGCAUGUAUACUAAAAUUGGGAUGACACAGAGAAGACUAGCACGGCCCCUGAGCAAGGAUGACAAGCAAAUUCGUGAACAUUCCAUAUUAUU